ACCCAAUCAUUUCUGAUUCCCUUUAAAUGGAUUUUGCAGUUUUUCUAUUUACGUCAAUUUUCAUAGAUCCAGAUAUUUGCUACAUCAAUCUUCUUGGAGCCUUACUAUCUUUAGGAGAUGGUGGCAUCCAGCUGUGUAUUGGAUUUUUAAUUUCUGACCAAGUAUUUUUUGAAAUGAUAUGGUUAUUUGUUGUUUCUCUCUGAUUUUCUUGAAAUUCCUAACAGAAAUUUUUUGCAUACAUCGGGCAUGCUUGUUAAUAAGUUUGUGAGAUUUUUCCCACUGCACCACAAGAAGAUAUUUGUCUAUUCACAAUCAUGGGAUGUAUAUUGUUUCCUUAAGUAUCAGUUUUGGGUUGUACUAGCCUCAGGGCUUUGGUUAGUGAUGAGGACUCAAAACAGGAUUGUGAACAUGUCACAAGUUUUUGAACCCUAUCAAUUAUUUUAGACAAUGAUCCUGAUAUUUAAGUGGGAUCAGGGUAGAGAGGUGGCUCAUAUUCUCAGGAGUUUCAAACUUGUUGGUCAAUCUGAGAUAUCUAAUUCACAAGAAAAUUUUCUGUUAUUCAGAAAUAACUGAGCCCUACCAGAAAAUUUAGGUUGAUAUUCACUCUUCAGCUGUGGAGGUUGGCUAUGCAGCUUUGACCUAUUAAAUAUGCUAACACUUUUGAACUAAGGCUGCUUGCCAGUAGGGUCUAACUUGUAUGAGAAACAAUCCAAAUCUCAGAGGAACCAGCUUAAUUUGAACACCUGAACACUACUCUAACUGUAGCUUAGUGAAUUAUCAGGUCGUAUCUGGUACGUUUAUGGUCAUCUAAUGUGAAAUAGAUUUGUCUUGUCCAGCUUGGUUUGUGGGGAAGAUUUGAAACUCUUUAUAAUAGGUAACAUUGAUUUUUUUAGUCGUUGACCAUGCUUUUGCCGGUCAUACCUGAAACUGGUUAGCAAUUAUUACACAACUGGGGUUGGAUCUCAUUCUCAAGCUUCAAGAUCAUUUAUGAGGUAAGUUACAAUCUUUGUUUAGAUUUUCAUCACACAACCAGUCUAUGGAACUUGAUAAAACGGCCAUUAACCAGAAAUUCCAUUGCUCUAAAUUUUGCAACAUUCAUUAAAGUUAAACCUAACUCUGAGCAUGAAGUUAUAUGUUUUGCUUGAAGCAGGAACUUAAAUCUGAUUCACAAGCAACCAACAUCUGUCAAACUUCUUGCCGUAACAUUCUCUAGAGCUUGUCUCUGCCAUUUGCAAUAUAUAUAUAUAUAUGUAUCUCCCUCCUCUCUUUUUUGGGUGCUUCAUCUUCUGUUGUGCCUCCUAACUUGUCUGGCCAUUUUAACUAUGGUUUUGUAUGAUUGCUUUACACCAGUGACAGCAAAAUACAACCAUUCAGAUGAUAUGCAUGCUUUCCCAGCAAGCUUUGGCGUUAAAGGAGAGGAUCUGAGCUCUAUUUCUGAUGUUUCUUUGAAGGAAAUUGUUACAAAAACUCAUGGGAGGCGAAAUGGAUAUUGUAAGGUUUUUAAGGACACCUCAGGAGGGUAUAUGAGAUUCAGGAGAAAGUUUCAUUUCAUGGUGCAUCUUCUCUGUCUCAUAAGGCUAACUGGUUCUUGCAGCCAUGACAGAUUUCAAAGCUUUUAAGCUGAUCCAUGUUUUGGCUUGGUAAAGUUUAGUUUCCUUUCCCCCCUCACCAAACUAUCCUUUUCGUGAAAUUGCACACAUGACCUUCCAAAGUUUCAUUUCAUGGUGCAUCUUCUCUGACUCAUAAGACUAACUGGUUCUUGCAGCCAUGACAGAUUUCAAAGCUUUUGAGCUGAUUCGUGUUUUGGCUUGGUAAAGUUCAGUUUCCUUUUCCCCUGCACCAAACCACCCUUUUCGUGAAAUUGCACACAUGGCCUUCCUCUUUUCUUAUUCUUAUUACUCUCUGCUCCGUUUUAUAAACCAUGAGGAUGUGGAGGUUUUGUCUUCCGUGGAAGUUCAAUAAAACUUGUUUUCUCACGAGCUGAAAAAGUAUUUCUUGGCACGUCAGGUGGGUCUAUGAGAUUUUGGAAUUAAAUUUCCAUUCAUGGUGUUUCUUCUGAAUUUGCAUUGUUUCCUUGUUAUUUGCUAUAUUUUCUUCACGGUUUCCUUCUUCUUUGUACCUGGAUUUGCUGAACUUGAGCCGAGAGUCUUUUGGAAAUAGCCUCUCUACCUCCACGAGAUAGUGAUAAGGUUUACGUACAUUCUACCCUCCCCAGACCCCAAUUGUGGGACACUUGUGGGAUUUCACUGAGUAUGUUGUUGUUGUUGUUGUACUUGCAUUACUAAUAUCAAUGUGGACCUUUUAAUGAUAUUAAAGAGUUAUUCUUUUGCAUUAAAGAUUGACCUUUUUGGGCCCGAAUAUGGAUGUUUUCGUCACUUUUCUCGCUGAUAUAUUUUGUAAGCUUUUUCCCACUCAUAGGUUGCUGUUGUUGUGACUUAAGUUGCUCUACGUAAAUAUAUACAGUAGAAUAGAUAUUCUUAUUAUAGUUCUUUUUAAGUGUUGAUCGAUGAUACUGAUGCUUAUUGUUUGAAAUUUAUUUCUAGAGCUCAUCAUGUUUCCGAGAAUUACCCAUUGCACUGUGAUUGAAUGGUGACCUUCUGCUUGGAGUUGUUCAGGAUAUACUCAAAGCAAGUUCAAUUCUUUUUUGGAGACUGCAGAAACUUAGAAUGGGUUUUGGUUUACAAAUGUUGGUCUUCUGGAAGAUGCUACUCAUGCAUCAUACUACUACCAGUGAAUGGAAAUGCUUUGAAGAGACGGAUCCUUCCUCUUUGGUCAAAUAGAGAUGUAACGAGACAUCUAGAAAAGAUGCCAGUGAAUUGCAAUGCCUGUAAAAGAAGGAUCCUUUCUCUUUGUCACAUGGAAACAAAUCAAGAGACACGUAGAAAAGAUGGAAUGUUUUUUGAGCCUUUACUAACUGGAUCUGAGUUUACUUGAUCAAGAUAACAACACUCCUAUUGGUGAGCUGAGAACCUCUACUCGGAUAAUGAUUUCGAGGUACUCCUGAAGUUGGAACACUGGAGUUCGACACAUUUCCUAUUAGAACAAGGUAGCACUCUUAACACAAAUUAUUUUCGUAAAAUUGGUUUACUUUUUAGGAUAGUCUUUUAAUGGUAUGAUGAUUGCAAGUGGUUCAAUUUUUGCAACAGCGGUCAUGUUGUGCUUCUAAAGUGCACUGUGGCCAUGAAAGAGGAAUUAAGUGGAACAAAAUUGACUAGGUGGUAGAGUCGUGGAAUAACUGAAUCAUGUGCGCACACACACACAACGUAUAUAUAUGCAUUUUGGAUUGUUUCUUGAAUAGGUGCUUCCAUCUGGCGCCUUUAGCAUACACACUUUUCUUGAUUGGGAGGUCAUAGGGAAUUAGUCUAGAUCCACAAAAAUUGGUCUGAAUAUCACGAUCAUCAAAAAGAAAAUUUAAACGCAAUCUUGUUCUUUGAAAUGCAGCAGUGUACAGACGUAGUAAGCCGUACGAAGAUAUAUGACCCUGGCUUCUUAGACACAAGAAAUUUUAAAUGAAAACUAUGUUCAUUUACUUCCAAAAAAGCUGCUUUCUUAUUGCCCUUUUCUUAGUAGUGAUCUGA
This is a long non-coding RNA of Solanum dulcamara, 3578 nucleotides long. RefSeq lists it as uncharacterized. The transcript is spliced from 4 exons. The record is from RefSeq and is a predicted model, not a curated record. NCBI's taxonomy places the organism in Eukaryota, Viridiplantae, Streptophyta, Magnoliopsida, Solanales, Solanaceae.